This 395-nucleotide long non-coding RNA is filed under the name Gossypium raimondii (Peruvian cotton). Its description in RNAcentral is "long non-coding RNA (GRAI_LNC010684)". The record is from RNAcentral. Lineage: Eukaryota; Viridiplantae; Streptophyta; Magnoliopsida; Malvales; Malvaceae.
AUCAUGGACCGCAAAGAAACCAGUAAAAAAUUAUAAGGCCAAAAUUAAAAUAACAAAAAGGGCCAGAUUGAACCACAACACAAAAGCAGAUGGAUUUGGCGCGCAAAUAUCCCUCCGACAAGCCAUUAAACGACGUCGUUUCGAGGCCACUGCUGCAGGCCCUAAACAACGUCGUUUAAAGAGAGUUAUAAAACUAAAAAAAAAACCUAAAACAUAAGUGUUUUAUUAGACUAAAACCAUCAAACAAAAAAACCUAAAUCUCUGCCCCUUUUUCUCACCGUUUCGAAACCCAAAAUCCCCUUUCCACCCCGAUUCAGAUGAAGUGAAGGAGGACUCCAACGGCGCACUCACACAGGUAAGUCCCUUGCCCUAUUUUCUAUAUUUUUUUCACACAC